UGAGAAUGCAAAGUCUAUCUGCAAGCAAU
Molecule: non-coding RNA, 29 nt
Filed under: Rattus norvegicus (Norway rat)
Lineage: Eukaryota; Metazoa; Chordata; Mammalia; Rodentia; Muridae
Source: RNAcentral